UACGGAGGGGGCGAGCGUUAUUCGGAAUUACUGGGCGUAAAGGGCGCGUAGGCGGUACUUCAAGUCAGGCGUGAAAGCCCCGGGCUCAACCUGGGAACCGCGCUUGAGACUGGAGAACUAGAGUUCGGGAGAGGAUGGUGGAAUUCCCAGUGUAGAGGUGAAAUUCGUAGAUAUUGGGAAGAACACCGAUGGCGAAGGCAGCCAUCUGGACCGACACUGACGCUGAGGCGCGAAAGCGUGGGGAGCAAACAGG
This 253-nucleotide ribosomal RNA is filed under the name uncultured bacterium. Its description in RNAcentral is "partial 16S ribosomal RNA". It matches the Rfam family "Bacterial small subunit ribosomal RNA", at positions 524 to 776 of the family's 1533-position model. The record is from RNAcentral.